GGAAGUAAAAGUCGUAACAAGGUCUCCGUUGGUGUACCAGCGGAGGGAUCAUUACCCGAGUUUACAACUCCCAAACCCACUGUGAACCUUACCUAUCGUUGCUUCGGCGGGACCGCCCCGGCGCCGGCUCAGGCCCGGAACCAGGCGCCCGCCGGAGGCCCGAAACUCUUGUCUUUACAGUUUUCUCCUCUGAUUGAAAAACAAAAUAAAUCAAAACUUUCAACAACGGAUCUCUUGGUUCUGGCAUCGAUGAAGAACGCAGCGAAAUGCGAUAAGUAAUGUGAAUUGCAGAAUUCAGUGAAUCAUCGAAUCUUUGAACGCACAUUGCGCCCGCCAGUAUUCUGGCGGGCAUGCCUGUUCGAGCGUCAUUUCAACCCUCAGGCCCCGCCUGGCGUUGGGGAUCGGCGCGGCGCGAGAGCGCUGCCGGCCCCGAAAUACAGUGGCGGUCUCGCUGUAGUCCUCCUCUGCGUAGUAGCAACACCUCGCACUGGAACGCGGCGCGGCCAAGCCGUUAAACACCCCACUUCUGAAAGUUGACCUCGGAUCAGGUAGGAAUACCCGCUGAACUUAACAUAUUCAAUAAGCGGGAGGGAA
This 594-nucleotide ribosomal RNA is filed under the name Virgatospora echinofibrosa. Its description in RNAcentral is "eukaryotic LSU rRNA". The stretch from base 215 to 368 matches the Rfam family "5.8S ribosomal RNA". Lineage: Eukaryota; Fungi; Ascomycota; Sordariomycetes; Hypocreales; Stachybotryaceae. The record is from RNAcentral.